GAUGAAGAACGUAGCGAAAUGCGAUACGUAAUGUGAAUUGCAGAAUUCAGUGAAUCAUCGAAUCUUUGAACGCAUAUUGCGCUCUUUGGUAUUCCGAAGAGCAUGCUUGUUUGAGUAUCAGUAAACACCUCAAAGCUUUUGGAUUUUUUAAUCGAAAAUCUUUGGACUUGAGCAAUCCCAACACCAAUCUUUUUGAGAUCGGUGGCGGGUUGCUUGAAAUGCAGGUGCAGCUGGACAUUCUCCUGAGCUAAAAGCAUAUUCAUUUAGUCCCGUCAAACGGAUUAUUACUUUUGCUGCAGCUAACAUAAAGGGAGUUUGACCGUAUUGGCUGACUGAUGCAGGAUUUCACAAGGGUCGGCAACGAUUCUUGUUAAACUCGAUCUCAAAUCAAGUAAGACUACCCGCUGAACUUAAGCAUAUCAAUAAGCGGAGGA
RNAcentral lists this unclassified non-coding RNA (434 nucleotides) under soil metagenome. Its description in RNAcentral is "partial contains 5.8S ribosomal RNA, internal transcribed spacer 2, and large subunit ribosomal RNA". The stretch from base 1 to 120 matches the Rfam family "5.8S ribosomal RNA", at positions 35 to 154 of the family's 154-position model. The record is from RNAcentral.